This 713-nucleotide long non-coding RNA is filed under the name Oryctolagus cuniculus (rabbit). Its description in RNAcentral is "lncRNA (ENSOCUG00000037672.1)". The record is from RNAcentral. Lineage: Eukaryota; Metazoa; Chordata; Mammalia; Lagomorpha; Leporidae.
UAUUAUUUUAAAGUAUUAAUCAGUAUCAUAUAAAUGCUUACAAGUGGACCUCCAAAGUAAAAUAGAAAGGCCACAAAUUUCUCAGGAAUGUGUGAUUUAACAGGUGAAUCUGACCCCAUGAAUGCAUUAGAUUGCACUUAAAAAAUUGCAAGUAAGUGAAAUGAACUUGAGUAAGUAUGAACAAUACAAAAUAAAAUGAGAGUCAUUUAUUACAAGGAUGUUGGGCAUCAUUAGGAAUGCACGGGCAACAACUGAACUGCAUAGUUGAGAGAUCUGGGAGGCCGUGAAUCUGUUUUGAGAGUUGCUGCUUUUGCCUCUCUCCUUUUUGUAGACAACGUCAUACCUUGAAUGUGAACUUGAGGCCUGGGACCAUGUGGGAGAACCUGUAGACUUUCGCUGACAACCAUGCUGUGACAGCAUGAAGAUAAAAGCCAAGAAGCUAAGGUUGGCGAGAGAUUGACAUCCCUGACAGCAUUUUUGAACCACUGUGUCUGGACUGCCGACGCUGGACUAUCUGAAACGUGAGUUUCAGAAAGUAAUUGCGGGCUUGCAUGCAUCAAUAACAACAAAGUUUGACACCUUGAGAAGGAGGAGUGAAUCUUCCCCGUUACAGAGCUGGCAGGAAAGAAGCACGCCUUGAUGGAUGCACCGUGGGCAUGUCGAUGUUCAGAACUCAGAGAGAGCUAUGCAUAUCAUUCCUCAAGGUUGUGAGG